CGCGGGGUGGAGCAGUUGGUAGCUCGUCGGGCUCAUAACCCGAAGGUCGUCAGUUCGAGUCUGGCCCCCGCAACUA
Molecule: transfer RNA, 76 nt
Filed under: Crocinitomicaceae bacterium
Lineage: Bacteria; Pseudomonadati; Bacteroidota; Flavobacteriia; Flavobacteriales; Crocinitomicaceae
Description: tRNA-Met
Rfam family: tRNA
About the family: Transfer RNA (tRNA) molecules are approximately 80 nucleotides in length. Their secondary structure includes four short double-helical elements and three loops (D, anti-codon, and T loops).
Source: RNAcentral